Molecule: ribosomal RNA, 426 nt
Filed under: uncultured bacterium
Lineage: Bacteria
Description: bacterial SSU rRNA
Rfam family: Bacterial small subunit ribosomal RNA
Source: RNAcentral
GUAGGGAAUAUUGGUCAAUGGGCGAAAGCCUGAACCAGCAACGCCGCGUGCACGAUGAAGGCCUUCGGGUCGUAAAGUGCUUUUCGGGGAGACGAGGAAGGACGGUAUCCCCGGAAUAAGGAUCGGCUAACUACGUGCCAGCAGCCGCGGUAAAACGUAGGAUCCGAGCGUUAUCCGAAUUCACUGGGCGUAAAGCGCGUGUAGGCGGUUCGGUAAGUUGGAUGUGAAAUCUCCUGGCUCAACUGGGAGGGGACGUUCAAUACUGUCGGACUAGAGGACGGCAGAGGAAGGUGGAAUUCCCGGUGUAGUGGUGAAAUGCGUAGAUAUCGGGAGGAACACCAGUGGCGAAGGCGGCCUUCUGGGCCGUUUCUGACGCUCAGACGCGAAAGCUAGGGGAGCAAACGGGAUUAGAAACCCCAGUAGUCC